RNAcentral lists this ribosomal RNA (465 nucleotides) under uncultured bacterium. RNAcentral's name for it is "partial 16S ribosomal RNA". It matches the Rfam family "Bacterial small subunit ribosomal RNA", at positions 28 to 507 of the family's 1533-position model. The record is from RNAcentral.
GACGAACGCUGGCGGCGUGCUUAACACAUGCAAGUCGAACGGAAAGGCCCCUUCGGGGGUCCUCGAGUGGCGAACGGGUGAGUAACACGUGAGUAACCUGCCCUUGACUUCGGGAUAACUUCAGGAAACUGGGGCUAAUACCGGAUAGGAAUCCUUGCUGCAUGGUGGGGGUUGGAAAGCUUCGGCGGUUUUGGAUGGACUCGCGGCUUAUCGGCUUGUUGGUGGGGUAGUGGCUUACCAAGGCUUUGACGGGUAGCCGGCCUGAGAGGGCGACCGGCCACAUUGGGACUGAGAGACGGCCCAGACGCCUACGGGAGGCAGCAGUGGGGAAUAUUGCACAAGGGGCGGAAGCCGGAUGCAGCAACGCCGCGGGCGGGAUGACGGCCUUCGGGUUGGAAACCGAUUUCAGCAGGGGCGAAGCUUGUGGUGACGGUACCUGCAGAAGAAGCACCGGCUAACUACGUG